GUGCUCAAGUGGGCAGCGCGUGUACGAAAUUUGGAAGGAUACAGAGAAGUUUAGCAAGGCCCCUGGGCAAGGAUGAUGUGCAGAUUCAUGAGGCAUUGCAUAAAUUU
RNAcentral lists this small nuclear RNA (107 nucleotides) under Catagonus wagneri (Chacoan peccary). Lineage: Eukaryota; Metazoa; Chordata; Mammalia; Artiodactyla; Tayassuidae. The record is from RNAcentral.